This 464-nucleotide ribosomal RNA is filed under the name uncultured bacterium. Its description in RNAcentral is "bacterial SSU rRNA". It matches the Rfam family "Bacterial small subunit ribosomal RNA", at positions 26 to 507 of the family's 1533-position model. The record is from RNAcentral.
AGGACGAACGCUGGCGGCGUGCUUAACACAUGCAAGUCGAACGGUAAGGCCCUUCGGGGUACACGAGUGGCGAACGGGUGAGUAACACGUGGGUGAUCUGCCCUGCACUUCGGGAUAAGCCUGGGAAACUGGGUCUAAUACCGGAUAGGACCAUGGACUUCACGGUUUGUGGUGGAAAGCUUUUGCGGUGUGGGAUGGGCCCGCGGCCUAUCAGCUUGUUGGUGGGGUAAUGGCCUACCAAGGCGACGACGGGUAGCCGGCCUGAGAGGGUGUCCGGCCACAUUGGGACUGAGAUACGGCCCAGACUCCUACGGGAGGCAGCAGUGGGGAAUAUUGCACAAUGGGCGCAAGCCUGAUGCAGCGACGCCGCGUGAGGGAUGACGGCCUUCGGGUUGUAAACCUCUUUCAAUAGGGACGAAGCGCAAGUGACGGUACCUAUAGAAGAAGCACCGGCCAACUACGUG